GCCUACGGGGGGCAGCAGUAGGGAAUAUUGCUCAAUGGGGGAAACCCUGAAGCAGCAACGCCGCGUGGAGGAUGAAGGUUUUCGGAUUGUAAACUCCUUUUGUUAGAGAAGAUAAUGACGGUAUCUAACGAAUAAGCACCGGCUAACUCCGUGCCAGCAGCCGCGGUAAUACGGAGGGUGCAAGCGUUACUCGGAAUCACUGGGCGUAAAGAGCGCGUAGGCGGGAUAGCAAGUCAGAUGUGAAAUCCUAUGGCUUAACACUAGAACUGCAUUUGAAACUGUUAUUCUAGAGUAUGGGAGAGGUA
This 305-nucleotide ribosomal RNA is filed under the name uncultured bacterium. RNAcentral describes it as "bacterial SSU rRNA". It matches the Rfam family "Bacterial small subunit ribosomal RNA", at positions 337 to 659 of the family's 1533-position model. The record is from RNAcentral.